ACACUGAUGGGCCCUGACCACACCCUCCUCAGGGCUCCUCAACAUACUCUCCAAGAUUCGUGUCACUGGGUCCAUUCUACAGAUGAAGAUGAAGAAACCUAAGUUUAAAUAAAUUAAAAUGCUGUCCCAAUCCAUAGCUAAUCAGGAAAGGUGGAGAAGUAAAUGAGAUUUCAAAAUAGGAUUAACUGCUUGGAAUCUCAGUGCAGAAAAAAUCCUCUGUAUCUACUCAUAUCAGAGGAAUUAAAGGGCAUUAAUCAUCUUUAUAAAAAAAAGCCUAUAAAGGAAAUUUUACAUAUAAACACUUGCUCUUGGAAGCAGAAGUGUCAGAGGUUGUAUGCUGUAUAACCAUGUUAAAAUUUUUUCCACAGAGGGAGGAAAAUGGCAGAGGAAGUGGCAGAGUGCAUGCUUCGCAUGCAUGAGGUCCUGGGUUCAAUCCCCAGUACCACCUCUAAGAAUAAGUCACCAGCCCUCUGUCAGGGCUUCCGUGUGCUCGCGUGCAGGACAAGUGUCUGGGCCUCGACAAUGGAAGCCUCCAGUUCCCCAUCCCUGGGAGCCACAGUCAGACAUGCAGCCUCUCUCCUACAAAGAGAGAAGAGGGUGGCUAAGCUCUUUCCAAAGAGAGACCCUGUUAAUCCACGGUCUGUUGUGUCAACUGUCUGACCUGGGAAUUCAGUAUAUCUUUGAUAUUAAAUAAAUCCUAGUUUUUGCAAAAAGACCUAUUUCCCUGCCUUAUCCCAAAAGAUUUGAUGGUUAGAACAGAAACCCAAAUCCAAGCUUGUUCGUUUCUAAAAGAGGUCUUCUCUAGGGUCAAACAUGGCAGCUGUCCCACUGUCGUGGAGGAGUAAUACCAAAGCAUUCCCUUUCCUGGUUCCUUUCCCUUCCUUGCCAGUCUUCCGAAGGCCAAAGAGGAUGAGAAUGAGAACUGGGGAAGGCAGGUCUAACAUGAUCCUGCCCUGAUUAUUCUACCUGCCUCUGUUCAUGAGAAUGGUGACACUGGACAGCUCCUGGUUUCAUCCCUGUUUUAUCCACCCUGGCUCCAGAAGAUUAGCUAGAGAAACACAAAGGGUGACUAAAACGCCAGGUCCUAGGGUGCCUGAGGCCAGCAGGAAGAGCCCAGCAGGCCUCCUAUCCCCAGCUGACUCGUCCGCUGAUGCGCUCCAGAAAUGUCUACAAAAGCCGGGCGGUUCAUCAACCCCACACUCACUCCCCACCGUACGUGUAAUAAUAGUAGACCAGGAGAACGUCAAGGUCGGAAGCAAGCUUUAGCACAUCUGAGUGGUCAAUACUCUCACCUCACUGACAGGAUCAUACACUUAAAACAAAACAAACUGAAACACAUAUGCCCACAAGAGCUUUGAAUUUGUGACAGACCGUAUUUCCUUCCCAUCUCACAUGCUGCUCCUGCAGUGUGGUGAAGAUACUCCUCGGCUGAGAUGUGGGUCUCUGUCCCCGCCCUUGAGUCUGGGUGGGUCUCUGUCCCCGCCCUUGGGUCUGGGUGGACCCUACCUGUCUUGACCGACAGGCGGAAUCGCAGGCGGAAUCGGUUCUGGGUAACAUCCGAGGCUGGGCCACGCAUGAGAAGUCCCACAGCUUCUGCUUGCCUCUCCCUCUCCAGACACACGUCUUUGGAGCCCUGAGCCACCACGUUAAGAAGUGUGGUUACCCUGAAGCCGCCCUGCUGAGGAGACCACAUAGGCAUAGUGGCCUCAGCAGCUCCAGCUGUUCAGCCCCCAGCCAUCUGAGUUUUCCUAGUCCAGACUCACACGUGAAGGAGCCUUCAACAUGCCUCCCAUCCCAUCCACCACCUGACUGCAGCCUCACAGAAGCACCCCAAGUCAGAGCUGCACAGAUAAGCCAUUCCUAAAUUCUUGUCCUGCAGAAACUGAGAGAGAGAACAAAUGAUCAUGGUUUUAAGCUGAGGUGAUUUUGAUUGCUGGGAGUAAUUCGUUGUGCGGCAAUAGGAAAUCAAUAUGAGAUUCAUUACAAAAACCACUAAAAGCUUUAACCUCAAAGUCAGUCAACUAUUAAUUAAAUGAACCAGUAAAGCACCCUCCAAUCGGACGUCUUCAGACAACCUGCAGGCCCUCUUACUCUCUACGACCUUUCUCUGCUCUGUGUUGACACUGAGCCCUCACUGCCACAUGACAGGACCCUGAAUGCACGAGGGAUCCCCAGCACCUGACACACGGAGCGGGUGAUCACUGUGGCUGUGGAAUGAACCUGUCAUAAUGCACCUGGGGGGUGAGCUGGCUGGGUUUUCCUACAGUGCUGUUCGACUUCCCAGGAUCUGCCCUUCAGCUUGACUCAAGGUCUCCUGAUACAUGCUCACUGCUGAGUUUCUGACUCUCCUAUGACUACCUACAAAAUGACGUGACACCAAAUUUCUGGUCGGUUCAAACAUACACAUCUCACCAGAGAAACCACGCUGUCCCACUCCACGAUUCAGCUUAGCACCCGGAGCAAAGCUGAGAAGGAGGUCCCUUCUCAGCAUUCCUGUGUGCUGAUCCUUCCCAGGUGGUCUCAAACAUCAAAUAAAAGUCACUAUUUUUCACUCAAAGACCACAUGCCCAGUAGGAAAAUGACCUCCUGAUGGGUGGUUUACAUAGCAACUGUGCCCUCUAAGAAGGCCACUGAGCCUUCCUACACAUCUCUGUCUCUACGACCCUUGGAGUCUAGAUGAUUACACUGAGCAGCUGAAGUGCUUUUACUACUGCAGGCCUAACAGCCCUGCCGCUGGGUGGGUGUCAGAGCAGCACGCUUCAAUGCGCUUUCAAGUCAAAUGAGAACUGGCUAGUUAAGCAGCAGCAUUAACAGAUGUAGAAACACCGCCAGCUAAACACCUCCUGCCAAUUAUGGCUGCCCAGCUACACCCACAUUAAAAAUAACCCAACACUAAUAA
Vicugna pacos (alpaca) is the source of this 2899-nucleotide non-coding RNA. NCBI's taxonomy places the organism in Eukaryota, Metazoa, Chordata, Mammalia, Artiodactyla, Camelidae. The record is from RefSeq and is a predicted model, not a curated record.